This 434-nucleotide ribosomal RNA is filed under the name uncultured bacterium. RNAcentral's name for it is "partial 16S ribosomal RNA". It matches the Rfam family "Bacterial small subunit ribosomal RNA", at positions 29 to 507 of the family's 1533-position model. The record is from RNAcentral.
AGCGAACGCUGGCGGCAGGCCUAACACAUGCAAGUCGAACGAACCUUUCGGGGUUAGUGGCGGACGGGUGAGUAACACGUGGGAACGUGCCUUUAGGUUCGGAAUAACUCAGGGAAACUUGUGCUAAUACCGAAUGUGCCCUUCGGGGGAAAGAUUAAUCGCCUUUAGAGCGGCCCGCGUCUGAUUAGCUAGUUGGUUGAGGUAAUGGCUCACCAAGGCGACGAUCAGUAGCUGGUCUGAGAGGAUGAUCAGCCACAUUGGGACUGAGACACGGCCCAAACUCCUACGGGAGGCAGCAGGGGGGAAUCUUGCGCAAUGGGCGAAAGCCUGACGCAUCCAUGCCGCGUGAAUGAUGAAGGUCUUAGGAUUGUAAAAUUCUUUCACCGGGGACGAUAAUGACGGUACCCGGAGAAGAAGCCCCGGCUAACUUCGUG